CACUGGCCCAGGCUGCCCAGAGCAGCUGUGGGUGCCCCAUCCCUGGCAGUGCCCAAGGCCAGGCUGGACGGGGCUGGGAGCAACCUGGUCUGGUGGGAGGUGUCCCUGCCCAUGGCAGGGGGGCUGGGAAUGGAUGAUCUUGAAGGUCCCUGCCAACCCAAACCAUUCUACGAUUCUAUGAUUAAAACAAUGCAGCUCUACUUCUUAAGGCUACUUCUAUAUAAAUGCUAAAUAAUAGUAACAGAAAAGGGUGUUGCCUGAUUUUUAGUAAAAUGUACUGUAAUAAGAAUAAUUAUUUUUUGAUCCAUUCCAGUUUGAGAGGCUUCAGCUGAGCCUGUAACUAAGUUACACUGUCAUAAAUGAGACUAUAGCAAUCAGUCUCAAAACCUGUUAAAUCUUUCAGUUCCAUGAAUGUAAUAUGCUAUUUCUGCUGUACAAUGAAUUAAAUGAAUACAUGACCAAGAUCUAGAUAAAAACAUGCAGCAGCAAGUCUGAGGGCAACACUGUAUAAAAUAAGAACAAUUUAAAAUGGAGUAAUAUGAUUUAUAGCUGAAAAUCUUUAGUUGAUAAAAGAACCUCAUUCUCUUCCCCCCCAGCCAAGUACAACCAAAAAGAUCAGGAAAUCUGAAAAUGUGGGAGCAGAAUAACAACCCAGCAAAGAAUGAUUUUCUGUGGGAGCUAUCAUAGGCUUUAAGAUGUAUCAUCUGUGCAAGAGAGAAUAAUUGUUAUUCACCUCAUUUUCUGAAAAUUAAAAUCCAGAAGAUGUACACAGUACUCAGGACCCUGGCUCCAGGCUAAAUUGUAGUGGAAGAUGUGGCUUGCUCCAGAAGUGGUGGUGGAAGCCAUUGCACCUGUGUAACUGACUGUCCUGGCUAAUGCUCCCAAAGGUUCCAGGUAAAGUCCUCCAAACAGCAGCCCUGACCUCAGCUCCCAAGAAGUCCACCACAGAUGCAAAAAAGAGUAGCAUUUUCUCCACGCUACACAGAUCCACCAAAGCAGAAGCUGAAGGUAUGACGGCAUCGCAACAGUCGGAUGGAGCACCAGCUGUGCAAACACACAGCCCAACCUGUGAUAAAAUCCUUUUUCCUCUCUACAACAGCUGUAAUAUUGUCAGAGCUCCUUGGAUACAGAAAAUCCCUACAAUUUCUCUAGUAGGGGAAAGCCAGUGAACAGUCCUGUAAUGUAGAGUAUCAUGGACUAUUAGUUAGCCCAGAAUUCAAGAGUGUAAGCCACAGGAGAAAAUUUCUUGCACCAAUUACAAACGUCAACGUUUCAAAGCCUUCUGCUACGCAUUAGGCACCAAAAUCAGAUCCCUCAGUCACAUCUCCCCAACUUCACCAAUGGCACUGAAGAUCUGAUACUCCCUGCUCAGCACUGAAACCUCAGAGCUCUGCAUCCACCCAGGACAGAAUGGUUCUGUGCAGGUCUGCAUGGGAAUGCUUCCUGCAGAUGAAAACAGUAAAGCUCAUGUGCAAGACUGCCAGCAAUGCUCUGCUAGCCUGUGUCUGAGAGCAGAGAGUCUGCUUUCAUUGAUGCAAAGAGGGUGAGCAGCAUUUAUACAGGCAGUUGAAUCCAGGGUAAGAAGAACAAGACCACCUCAACACUGCAUAGGAAGAACUCUGCAUCAGAGUCAGGACCCAUACUGUAAAUCAUAAAAACAUGUGAGUCCAGGAUUUCUUCAGUCUUCUGCUUUCAAGCAAAUUCUCUAAGCAUGCUACUGUCUUUUUUUAUUCUGCUGUUAGUUGUAACAUUCAAAAGUGUAUUCCCUUGAACACACAUUUUUGAGAUACGGGUCUGGUUUUUGAAGGGGGUAUGCUCAGCAUUUCGCAGGACCUCAUCAGGGGAAAGAUUUAGACAUAAACCAAAUGGACAUAUCCUUAACCAUCAAAAACUUGAAAAUUUUAACCACAAAAAAUAUGUGUCUGCAUAUGUAAAUGUAAAAAUUCUUAUUACACAAACUCCUUGUUUCAAAAUAUAUCAGAUAACACAGCAUUAAGAAAAUUUACCAAUGAAUCUGAGUGUAAUCAUUUGUGUGCAAAGGAAACAAAACAAAACAACUUCUACAUGCUCAGCCUACUAAAAUGCAUUGCCAGAUAUUUGAGAACAAAUCAAGAAUUUGUUGCUAUUGAGAAAUGAAACAUGCAAUCUCUGGAACCAAACUGGUCACUGGUGAACAGUAAAACCCUAAUAAUUUCCAUAUUUAUUAAGUAAUCUAUUGCUGUUUACCCCAGAAAUCACUGCACAUGAAAACAUGACAAAAAAACCCAACCUGAGAAACGCUGGUGUAUGCUGCU
Long non-coding RNA from Falco peregrinus (peregrine falcon), 2294 nucleotides. RefSeq lists it as uncharacterized. The transcript has 4 exons. NCBI's taxonomy places the organism in Eukaryota, Metazoa, Chordata, Aves, Falconiformes, Falconidae. The record is from RefSeq and is a predicted model, not a curated record.